Molecule: small RNA, 848 nt
Filed under: Mus musculus (house mouse)
Lineage: Eukaryota; Metazoa; Chordata; Mammalia; Rodentia; Muridae
Description: ARC enhancer
Source: RNAcentral
GGAGAGGUGGGGACCAGAGUCCCUGGCUGGAGACUGGUGACAUUGUCCCUGCCAUUGGUGGCUUUGUGACUCUUAAACCAGACCUGCACAAAGAUCUUGUAUCAGGUAUUUGUUUACUUGUACCCUAGAGCUCUGGUUCCAGGAGAAAGCAGAUGGCCCCCCGGGUGGGGGGGCCCUGGGCAGUAGUAGCUCCUCAGUCCUGUAAAUAAAUCCCUAGGAACAGCGUUCAGGCUGAAGGGUUCGAGCUCUGGGCUGGGCGUACACCAGCGCCAAGAUGCAGACAGGUAAGAAUGCUUAGAAUUCCUGUGCCUGACAUUUCUCAUUCUGUCACAAAGGGGAGUGGGGUACCAAUAGGGAUGGAGCACAGUGCCCUGAAAGAGUUCAGAUUCACACAGAGAACCAGGAAGGGCUUCCUAGAGGUGGAGCCUGUGGGUAGAAGGCAAAGAGCACAGGUUGAGCAGGGGAGGCCAGUGCUGUGUCCCCUCCACUCUUUUGGCUCCCUAAUGGCCUUCAAGCGUGGUUACCCUCCUCUGGCUGGUGACUCCUCCGUUUUCUCUCUGGGCGGGGAGGGUGUUGGAUCUGGACCUCUUUCUUUCUCCGAUGUCUCCUCCUACCAGAGGCAGCUCAUCUGAGUUCUCAAGCCUUUGCCCUGGGCUUUGAAACUGACAACCAGCUCCCAGUGAGUGACCUGUGGAGCUGCAGACAUGUGGAGAUCCAAGUUGUCUCCCCACUUCCUGUAGUUCUCUAGCUAAGGCAAGCAGGUCUCUACCAUUGAUGGAUCUCACAGGUACCAGGCACGACUCUCGGUCCCUCGACCCACUGGAAAAGGUUGUGCAUGGGUUCAGGGU